Non-coding RNA from Arachis ipaensis, 816 nucleotides. The record is from RefSeq and is a predicted model, not a curated record. Lineage: Eukaryota; Viridiplantae; Streptophyta; Magnoliopsida; Fabales; Fabaceae.
AUCAUUGAAGACAUAGCUAAAGUGUCGAUGCCCGCAUAUGAGUCCACGGAGAAUGGCCUACCUCGUUUUUAUCCCAGCGUCCCAAAAUAACAUAACGGGUCAGUCAAAAUGAUACCUAUCAAUAAUCUUACUAGCACUUCACUUGAUAAUGAUACUUAGUAUCAUGGUUGAAAAUAAUAUUUCUGUUUGUACAUGUAGCUGUGAUUGUGGUGUAUACGUGAUCAAGUUCAUGCAGUUUUGGAGUUUAGAGAAACCCUUGCAGCUUUGGGACAAGGACGUUCUACAGGAGUUCUAGAAGGAAAUUAUACUAGAUAUAGUGAUGGGUCCCCAUAAUUCACAAAUUGGGAAGGCACUGCAUGCAUUAGACAGUGAUCCUGUGCGCCGCAACCAGCCAAGGAAAAAGAUUAAGGCUUUGAAAUCACCCUUCACAGCAUCGAGCACGAAGAGCAUGCUGCAGCGUGCGGGGUUACUCACUAGAAAGCCAAGCAAAUGGGGGAGACAACGGAAGAAGAUAGAUGCCUAGGUUUAUGAUUUCAUGUUGAUGAUUUUGUUAAGUUGCUGGUGACUUUAUCCAAAACCUUUAAGUGGAUGGUGCUUCUGAUAGGCAUUAGGAUGUUUCUUUUCUUUGUAAACAGGAUAGUUCUGGAUCUGUCUUCCAAGUUAUCACGUGUUAGGCAUUUGAACAUUUGUGUACUUCAUUGAGAAGUGAAUGGCUCGUGUUUUUUUAGAUACUCCUCAGUAGGUUUCAUGUGUUAAGUAAUUCAGGAUUGUCAAGCAAUUAGUUCUCAAAUUGUGGAUGUCUCUAGUUCAAUAAGU